AUUGAACGCUAGCGGCAGGCUUAACACAUGCAAGUCGAGCGGGGUGAUGGUGCUUGCACUAUCACUUAGCGGCGGACGGGUGAGUAAUGCUUAGGAAUCUGCCUAUUAGUGGGGGACAACAUCUCGAAAGGGAUGCUAAUACCGCAUACGUCCUACGGGAGAAAGCAGGGGAUCACUUGUGACCUUGCGCUAACAGAUGAGCCUAAGUCGGAUUAGCUAGUUGGUGGGGUAAAGGCCUACCAAGGCGACGAUCUGUAGCGGGUCUGAGAGGAUGAUCCGCCACACUGGGCCUGAGACACGGCCCAGACUCCUACGGGAGGCAGCAGUGGGGAAUAUUGGACAAUGGGGGGAACCCUGAUCCAGCCAUGCCGCGUGUGUGAAGAAGGCCUUAUGGUUGUAAAGCACUUUAAGCGAGGAGGAGGCUCUUUUGGUUAAUACCCAAGAUGAGUGGACGUUACUCGCAGAAUAAGCACCGGCUAACUCUGUGCCAGCCGCCGCGGUAA
This 503-nucleotide ribosomal RNA is filed under the name uncultured bacterium. Its description in RNAcentral is "partial 16S ribosomal RNA". It matches the Rfam family "Bacterial small subunit ribosomal RNA", at positions 30 to 523 of the family's 1533-position model. The record is from RNAcentral.